Molecule: ribosomal RNA, 449 nt
Filed under: uncultured bacterium
Lineage: Bacteria
Description: partial 16S ribosomal RNA
Rfam family: Bacterial small subunit ribosomal RNA
Source: RNAcentral
CUACGGGUCGCAGCAGUGGGGAAUCUUGCGCAAUGGACGAAAGUCUGACGCAGCGACGCCGCGUGGGUGAUGAAGGCCUUCGGGUCGUAAAGCCCUGUUCUGGGGGAAGAAACCACUUCGGUGCUGACGGUACCCCAGAAGAAGGCACAGGCUAACUCCGUGCCAGCAGCCGCGGUAAUACGGAGUGUGCUAGCGUUGUUCGGAUUUAUGGGCGUAAAGCGCCUGUAGGUGGCUUGACAAGUCGGAUGUGAAAUCCCGUGGCUCAACCUCGGAACUGCAUUCGAAACUGUCUUGCUUGAGUCCGGGAGGGGGUUGCGGAAUUCCGGGUGUAGAGGUGAAAUUCGUAGAUAUACGGAGGAACACCCGUGGCGAAGGCGGCAACCUGGACCGGUACUGACGCUGAGAUGCGAAAGCGUGGGGAGCAAACAGGAUUAGAUACCCCCGUAGUC